ACAAAUUAGAGUGUAAAUGUCUUUUUUAAAACAUUAAAAAACUUUUUAUCCCUUUACCUAAAUGUUAGGGGUGUGUUUAUCCUUUUCCCUAAAAAAAAAAUGUACAUCUAAUUGUCUUACAAUGGGUCAAGAACAAAAGGUUAAAGGAUAAUAUACGUGGACAUGAUAAUGCAGAAACCGAAAAUCAAAAGGGCACGAGUUUCAAAUGCUAGACAAAUGAAAGAGACGUGUGAUUGCAGGUCGAUUUUCUUCUCAUCACUAGCCACUAGCACACAUCCCCUUAAUCAAAAUCUUUUUCAAUAUUGUUUAUUAUAUAAAUGGAUAUUGGUAGUGGUUGAACUUCUAUUAUUUAAUUAUGUUGUCAUUUUCCAUCACUACAACAACAGAUGAUUCAUAUAGGAUCGGUCAAAAAUUGUUGCCCAAUGUUUUGUCUUUUUCAUAAUUUAGUUAUUUUUGUUCAUAUGUCUGACGAAGAAGUUUUAAUUUUGCAAGAGGAAUUCAAGUUGAUAAGACCUUGUCGACUUGUCUUCUGCUGCAGAAUCCUGAUAAUCAUGCCAAAUUCAAAAAGUGGCAAAAGCAAAAGGCUAACUUCUUAAUGAAUUCAAUAUUAUUAUGAAUUUGGUGCUAGCUCAAUCUUGAAAAUGAUCCAAAAAUUAAAAAGUAAACAUAUAAUAAUCACAUCUACACAUGUACAUUAUUAGUGAGUCAUUGAUGAUAUAUCACGAAUUCAUUA
RNAcentral lists this long non-coding RNA (733 nucleotides) under Citrus x clementina. Its description in RNAcentral is "Citrus clementina (C. clementina) long non-coding RNA (CCLE_LNC000042)". Lineage: Eukaryota; Viridiplantae; Streptophyta; Magnoliopsida; Sapindales; Rutaceae. The record is from RNAcentral.